Molecule: transfer RNA, 68 nt
Filed under: Farynala dextra
Lineage: Eukaryota; Metazoa; Arthropoda; Insecta; Hemiptera; Cicadellidae
Also listed under: 2 other names
Description: tRNA-Gln
Source: RNAcentral
UGUAAAUAAAUGUAUGAUGCAUAUAGAGUUUUGGGUUCUAAAGUUAAGUUUAAUUCUUAAAUUUACAA